CCUACGGGUGGCAGCAGUGGGGAAUAUUGCACACUGGGGGAAACCCUGAUGCAGCAACGCCGCGUGAGUGAAGAAGUAUUUCGGUAUGUAAAGCUCUAUCAGCAGGGAAGACAAUGACAGUACCUGACUAAGAAGCCCCGGCUAACUACGUGCCAGCAGCCGCGGUAAUACGUAGGGGGCAAGCGUUCUCCGGAUUUACUGGGUGUAAAGGGAGCGUAGACGGCUGCGCAGGGCAGAAGUGAAAGCCCGGGGCUCAACCGCGGGACGGCUUUGGAAACUGUGUAGCUAGAGUGCAGGAGAGGUAAGUGGAAUUCCUAGGGUAGCGGUGAAAGGAGGAGAUAUUAGGAGGAACACCGGUGGCGAAGGCGGCUUACUGGACUGUAACUGACGUUGAGGCUCGAAAGCGUGGGGAGCAAACAGGAUUAGAUACCCCGGUAGUC
Molecule: ribosomal RNA, 440 nt
Filed under: uncultured bacterium
Lineage: Bacteria
Description: partial 16S ribosomal RNA
Rfam family: Bacterial small subunit ribosomal RNA
Source: RNAcentral